UGGGGAAUCUUAGACAAUGGGCGCAAGCCUGAUCUAGCCAUGCCGCGUGAGUGAUGAAGGCCCUAGGGUCGUAAAGCUCUUUCACCUGUGAAGAUAAUGACGGUAGCAGGAAAAGAAACCCCGGCUAACUCCGUGCCAGCAGCCGCGGUAAUACGGAGGGGGUUAGCGUUGUUCGGAAUUACUGGGCGUAAAGCGUACGUAGGCGGAUUAGUAAGUUAGAGGUGAAAUCCCGGGGCUCAACCCCGGAACUGCCUUUAAAACUGCUAGUCUUGAGUUCGAGAGAGGUGAGUGGAAUUCCAAGUGUAGAGGUGAAAUUCGUAGAUAUUUGGAGGAACACCAGUGGCGAAGGCGGCUCACUGGCUCGAUACUGACGCUGAGGUACGAAAGUGUGGGGAGCAAACAGGAUUAGAUACCCUGGUAGUCCACACCGUAAACGAUGAAUGCCAGACGUCGGGUAGCAUGCUGCUCGGUGUCACACCUAAC
Molecule: ribosomal RNA, 483 nt
Filed under: uncultured marine bacterium
Lineage: Bacteria
Description: bacterial SSU rRNA
Rfam family: Bacterial small subunit ribosomal RNA
Source: RNAcentral